GAAAUGCGAUAAGUAAUGUGAAUUGCAGAAUUCAGUGAAUCAUCGAAUCUUUGAACGCACCUUGCGCUCCUUGGUAUUCCUUGGAGCAUGCCUGUUUGAGUAUCAUGAAAUCUUCAAAGUAAAUCUUUUGUUAACUCAAUUGGUUUCUACUUUGGUAUUGGAGGUCUUUGCAGCUUCACACCUGCUCCUCUUUGUUCAUUAGCUGGAUCUCAGUGUUAUGCUUGGUUCCACUCGGCGUGAUAAGUUAUCUAUCGCUGAGGACACUGUAAAAGGUGGCCAAGGUAAUUGCAGAUGAACCGCUUCUAAUAGUCCAUUGACUUGGACAAUACUUUUAUGAUCUGAUCUCAAAUCAGGUAGGACUACCCGCUGAACUUAAGC
This 378-nucleotide unclassified non-coding RNA is filed under the name plant metagenome. Its description in RNAcentral is "partial contains 5.8S ribosomal RNA, internal transcribed spacer 2, and large subunit ribosomal RNA". The stretch from base 1 to 105 matches the Rfam family "5.8S ribosomal RNA", at positions 50 to 154 of the family's 154-position model. The record is from RNAcentral.